This 253-nucleotide ribosomal RNA is filed under the name uncultured bacterium. RNAcentral describes it as "partial 16S ribosomal RNA". It matches the Rfam family "Bacterial small subunit ribosomal RNA", at positions 524 to 776 of the family's 1533-position model. The record is from RNAcentral.
UACAGAGGUCUCAAGCGUUGUUCGGAUUCAUUGGGCGUAAAGGGUGCGUAGGCGGCGCGGUAAGUCGGGUGUGAAAUCUCGGAGCUUAACUCCGAAACUGCAUUCGAUACUGCCGUGCUUGAGGACUGGAGAGGAGACUGGAAUUUACGGUGUAGCGGUGAAAUGCGCAGAUAUCAGGAGGAACACCCGUAGCGAGGGCGGCACUCUGGGCCGAUUCUGACACUGAGGAGCGAAAGCGUGGGGAGCGAACAGG